GACGAACGCUGGCGGCGUGCUUAACACAUGCAAGUCGAACGGUAAGGCCCUUCGGGGUACACGAGUGGCGAACGGGUGAGUAACACGUGGGUGAUCUGCCCUGCACUUCGGGAUAAGCCUGGGAAACUGGGUCUAAUACCGGAUAGGACCACUGCCUGCAUGGGUGGUGGUGGAAAGCCUUUGCGGUGUGGGAUGGGCCCGCGGCCUAUCAGCUUGUUGGUGGGGUGAUGGCCUACCAAGGCGACGACGGGUAGCCGGCCUGAGAGGGUGACCGGCCACACUGGGACUGAGAUACGGCCCAGACUCCUACGGGAGGCAGCAGUGGGGAGUAUUGCACAAUGGGCGCAAGCCUGAUGCAGCGACGCCGCGUGAGGGAUGACGGCCUUCGGGUUGUAAACCUCUUUCAGCACCGACGAAGCGCAAGUGACGGUAGGUGCAGAAGAAGGACCGGCCAACUACGUGCCAGCAGCCGCAGUAA
Molecule: ribosomal RNA, 478 nt
Filed under: uncultured bacterium
Lineage: Bacteria
Description: partial 16S ribosomal RNA
Rfam family: Bacterial small subunit ribosomal RNA
Source: RNAcentral